AGUGAACCAGCUCUUGCUCCUGCGGAUUUCUUUGCUCCUCUUGCCCCGCUGCCAAUCCCUUCUAACUUAUUUGUACCAAACCCAGGUAUGCAGCUCAUGCGUUAGCCCUGCUUCUUGAUCCAUUUCCAUCCAUGAUCCUCUGGCCCUCGUCUUCUUAGAAGAAUAACUGGGCCAAAGUGCAGAGGACCGAAGGCUUGUAUAUACGUCUUUGGCAAUUGGACUUUCCUCCCUGAGGGUCAGUGGUUGAACCCUGCCAUGUGGACUGUUACACAGAAUGUCCCAGAGAUUGGGCCGGCGUGAUGACUUGAUGCUCCCUCAUUCACAGAUGCAGAAGAGUCACAACCUGCAGAUGGGACUGGCUGUAGGGGACAGGCACCAGCUGGGACUCAAUCUAAGGCAGAGCCCACCCUGGAAGCCAAGGUGGUAAGCUCUACAGUAUCAGCCCCUGGGCCUGAACUCUCACCCUCCAAACCAGCAGAUGGCUCCCAGGGAGGAGAGCUCUCGCGCUGUAGCUCUCUGAGCUCGCUCUCACAGGAAGUGAGCCGGCAUUUCCAUCAGGCUCCUGGAGACCACUGUCCUGCAGGGGCCACUCCUGGUGGGUCUGUGCCCUUUUACAACCCUGCGCAGUUGGUGCAGGCGUCUGUCACCUCGGGGACUUCAAGGCCAGGAAGGAUUGGCCAAAGAAAAUAUGCGGCACUGAACUAGGAUUGCUGCUGGAUUCUUACUUGGCACCCUGAGAG
This 740-nucleotide long non-coding RNA is filed under the name Rattus norvegicus (Norway rat). RNAcentral describes it as "long non-coding RNA NONRATT019091". The record is from RNAcentral. Lineage: Eukaryota; Metazoa; Chordata; Mammalia; Rodentia; Muridae.